GGGGGGGGGACCUCCCCUCCCAGCAUCUCAAGACCACCUCGGGAGGCUCGGCACCUUCGGGACCCUCAAACAGCCAUCAGAUGAAGGUGCUGGGGAUGGAACCCAGAACCCUGAACAUGCUAGACAAGCGCUCACCACUGUUAUGCACUCUUGGGGCCUGACCUCACUGCUUUUCAGGGUGCAGCUCGGCACAGUGGAGCACUUUCACCUGACUGUGCCGCCAUCCCCACCGUCCACUCCAGAGCUUUCUCACCUCCUGAACUGAACCUCAGUCCCAGGAGAUCUGACCCCUCUCCAGCCCACAGGACCACGACCCAUCGCUGAGGUUCUCCGGAGGGCGCCACCCCAGCAAGGCAGAUGAGAGUAAGGACCCAGAAGCCAUGGAGAUGUCUGUCCCCGAACAGGGACUGGCUGAAUUGUCAGUCCCCAGCAUGGCGUGCUCCCUCCCACCAGGCCCAGAAUCAACCUGGCUAAGUGACUGCCCUGGAACCUCUGAAACUAUGAGCUCUAAUCAACCUCUCCUCCUUGCGAUCUGUGCAUCUAGGACAAUGGGAAAUAGGGAGGUAGAGCUUUUGCAGAUGGGAAGGGGACCUAGGGAUGGAGGGAAAGGGGAAGGAGGGGAAGGAAGAGGAAGGGAAAAUAAAAAGAACUAAGAUGCCAUAUGUAUGGGCACUCGCUCCCAUGAUGAAUAUAUUCAGCACAUAUCAUAAACAUGUAC
This 718-nucleotide long non-coding RNA is filed under the name Heterocephalus glaber (naked mole-rat). RNAcentral describes it as "lncRNA (ENSHGLG00100033400.1)". The record is from RNAcentral. Lineage: Eukaryota; Metazoa; Chordata; Mammalia; Rodentia; Bathyergidae.